AUAUAAGCCUUAUCAUAUAUUAAAAAAAAAAGAGAGGAUAGUAAUUUCCCUAACUUUACCCUAAUAUUACAGAUUUCGAAUAGAAAACAGACAGAUCAGAGAAAUAUAAUCAAUCAAAUCUAACGAACUGGAGUACUAUAGUUCUCGUCUAUGAU
Molecule: long non-coding RNA, 155 nt
Organism: Hibiscus syriacus
Lineage: Eukaryota; Viridiplantae; Streptophyta; Magnoliopsida; Malvales; Malvaceae
Exons: 5
Source: RefSeq, a predicted model, not a curated record